RNAcentral lists this ribosomal RNA (460 nucleotides) under uncultured bacterium. RNAcentral describes it as "partial 16S ribosomal RNA". It matches the Rfam family "Bacterial small subunit ribosomal RNA", at positions 338 to 795 of the family's 1533-position model. The record is from RNAcentral.
CCUACGGGUGGCAGCAGUGAGGAAUAUUGGUCAAUGGACGAGAGUCUGAACCAGCCAAGUAGCGUGAAGGAUGACUGCCCUAUGGGUUGUAACCUUCUUUUAUAAAGGAAUCAAAUGAGGCACGUGUGCCUUUUUGCAUGUACUUUAUGAAUAAGGAUCGGCUAAAUCCGUGCCAGCAGCCGCGGUAAUACGGAGGAUCCGAGCGUUAUCCGGAUAUAUUGGGAUUAAAGGGAGCGUAGAUGGGUUGUUAAGUCAGUUGUGAACGUUUGCGGGUCAACCGUAAAAUUGCAAUUGAUACUGGCAGUCUUGAGUACAGUUGAGGUAGACGGAAUUCGUGGUGUAGCAGUGAAAUGCUUAGAUAGCACGAAGAACCCCGAUUGCGAAGGCAGCUUACAGGACUGUGACUGACAUUGAUGCUCGAAAGUGUGGGUAUCAAACAGGAUUAGAUACCCGAGUAGUC